GUCAAACUGAUCAGACAGUGUCAUACUCACUAUAGUGUCUGUCUCUGAAGAGAUUAAAGAUAGACCAUGCACUGUAAAUGACUGUAAACUAAGACUGUAGACUGGAGUUUACCUGUGAACAACCAGUGCCAUCAUAAAACUGUCACAUUUUUGCAUUGUAUAAUGAUGAACCAUUUCUUUUUUCCUCCAAUAACUACAUCCACAGAAGUGGGAUAUUUUAUUACAAAAUUGCUGGACGUGUGGUGAUAUAACCUACAACUAUAGUGGCUAAAGAACAUGUGAAUCCUGAGGAUGGGACCAGAAGGACAAUGCUGCUUGAUGGAGGAAGCGGAUGCCGAUGCAAAAAGAUCAAAACCCCUGUGCGCAAGAAACAAGUGUCCCACUCCCCGGCAGCCGAGCAGGAGGGAGGAAGAGUCGCUCAACAGGUUUGUGUCACUCCUCCAACUCUGCAGCUUUUUACCGUGUGUCCUUGGCUGCUCCGUCCUGAAAGGUAGCUGUAUCUGUUUUGGGAUCCUUUCUCUGUAGAAACGUCUGUGCUAUCUGUGCAUCAGUUUGAAGCUGCUUUUCCUCUUCCUGCGUGUGUGUGGAAAACACAAUCAAAGAGAAAAAUCAAUGUAUCCUCAAGCAAUAAAAAAUAAAAGUCAAUAGUUUUCAUAGAGUCUAUAUUUAGUGUAGAGUGAUGCAGAGAUUCUCAGUUCUGCCUGGCUGCAGUUUUCGAGAUAGAGCCAUUUCUCCACAUUCAUCAUUCAUUAUUUCUCUGACUGUGGCUUUAUGAAUCAUAACUCUGCAAAUGUUUCAUUUACACAGACAUACAGAGGUCCCAGACAGAUUUUGAACACCAAUAUAUAUAUAUAUAUAUAUACUGACUUACACAUGCUUUACUGAUGGAUGUAUGGAUGUGGGUGUAAUCAUUUGUGCGAGAUAGUGGUGGGGGUGAUGGGCUGCUGAUGGUAAUAUGGUCAGUAUCUAUUUUCUGAGAAGAUUGAGCGCUUGUAUCAUUUAUUAUCUCAUGAAUUUGCCCAGGUUCAUUCCUACUUUAAUCACAUGAGCAAUAUUACAACCUGGACUUAUCUAAUAUUAGUAUCCCCUAAUCUUGAUUAAUAAUCUUACCUCAUUCCAUUCUGUGAUUGAAAUAUAUCAUGCAGAUGACUCUGUAUAAUAUAUGCAGAGAGCAGUUCUAUUAUUUGGGGGUAAAUGGUUUCUUUUGAAGGAAGAACCUCUUAUUAAAAUCCUAUCCGAAGCAUUAUCUCUGAGUCUGUGUGGUUAGACAUGUAUACGAUGCAGCCCCCCCACACACUGGAUAAAAUGCAUGAACCAAUCACCAUCAGAGCGCUGCAGCAGGAGGGAGUCCCUGGCAACAGCUGCAUGCAUACCUGUUGGUCUAACAGUGCUGUUGGCAUCUAGUCCAAGCUGCAGAUUCUUGUCAAACCAUUGAAUACAGCACAUCUGAAAGAAUACCUUUAUCCCUCUCUGUACAUGAUCCUGCUCUGCAGUUGCAUGGACUUGGUGAAAAAAACAAAAAAAGAUAAUUUAAUCAUUUAAAAUCAUUUAAAGAAUGUUUUAAAUGAAGAAGUCCCUUUGAUGGGAAAGGGUUAUGGGGAGGGUAGUCUCCUUCCAAAAUAUACUUUAGAUCUGACGCCAGUUUAUAAUUUCUCAGUAAUAAGUGUGUCAAAUUCUUGAUUGAAUUUCAGCCAAGUCAAGUUCAGGGCCAAGUGAAUCUGUGCUGCUUUUUGGGCCACGUGUCCACACCCAGAGACAUGUACAUGCACUUGUUUAAUUCUUUUUGAAAUAUUCUUUGUCAUCUGAAAAUCCAUUAACAAAAUUGAAUAUAUAAUCAUUCAAAAGUGCCUAAGCAAACAAGAUGUGAUGUGAAAAAAAGUGAAGUAAAUCAAAAUGUAAAAAACCCUCUUUUAGGGAAAGAUGUUACAUGGACCAUUAUCAACCUCGUGCUCCCCCCUUAGUUUCUGCCUCGCUGCAUAAAGGGCACAAUGCUUCCUACAAAUGAACAUGAUUGCAAGGAUAGUGGGCUUAAAAUUCUCAUGAAGUAGGUCAUGGAAUAAGAAAACAAUGUGCCAUAUCAGGCAUAUCAUCAGUCACACUGGCCAAAAAACCCACUUACACCCACCAACAUCUGGCUUGUGUUUUAACCGUUAAAGGGUAACAAUAGCAUUCAUUCCCAGGUCAAAUGACUCUGCAGUAUUCAGGGCUAUUAAUUGGCUCCAGCUCUGAUCGGC
Molecule: long non-coding RNA, 2234 nt
Organism: Scophthalmus maximus (turbot)
Lineage: Eukaryota; Metazoa; Chordata; Actinopteri; Pleuronectiformes; Scophthalmidae
Source: Ensembl